UACAGAGGUCUCAAGCGUUGUUCGGAAUCACUGGGCGUAAAGGGUGCGUAGGUUGUUUGGUUAGUCAGGUGUGAAAACUUAGCGCUCAACGUUAAGCCUGCAUUUGAUACUGCCGGACUAGAGGUUCAGAGAGGAAACUAGAAUUCACGGUGUAGCAGUGAAAUGCGUAGAUAUCGUGAGGAAUACCAAAGGCGUAGGCAAGUUUCUGGAUGAAUUCUGACACUGAUGCACGAAGGCUAGGGGAGCAAAUGGG
RNAcentral lists this ribosomal RNA (253 nucleotides) under uncultured bacterium. Its description in RNAcentral is "partial 16S ribosomal RNA". It matches the Rfam family "Bacterial small subunit ribosomal RNA", at positions 524 to 776 of the family's 1533-position model. The record is from RNAcentral.